This 83-nucleotide transfer RNA is filed under the name Anaerolineae bacterium. RNAcentral's name for it is "tRNA-Ser". It matches the Rfam family "tRNA". From Rfam's summary of the family: Transfer RNA (tRNA) molecules are approximately 80 nucleotides in length. Lineage: Bacteria; Bacillati; Chloroflexota; Anaerolineae. The record is from RNAcentral.
GGAAGUGGACCCGUAAGGACGGGAGCUGCCUCGAAAGCAGUCAGGGCUGCAAGGCUCAGCAGGUUCGAUUCCUGUCACUUCCG